UAGGGAAUCUUCCGCAAUGGGCGAAAGCCUGACGGAGCAACGCCGCGUGAGUGAUGAAGGUCUUCGGAUCGUAAAACUCUGUUAUUAGGGAAGAACAAAUGUGUAAGUAACUAUGCACGUCUUGACGGUACCUAAUCAGAAAGCCACGGCUAACUACGUGCCAGCAGCCGCGGUAAUACGUAGGUGGCAAGCGUUAUCCGGAAUUAUUAGGCGUAAAGGGCGCGUAGGCGGUUUUUUAAGUCUGAUGUGAAAGCCCACGGCUCAACCGUGGAUGGUCAUUGGAAACUGGAAAACUUGAGUGCAGAAGAGGAACGUGGAAUUCCAUGUGUAGCGGUUAAAUGCGCAGAGAUAUGGAGGAACCCCAGUGGCGAAGGCGACUUUCUGGUCUGUAACUGACGCUGCUGUGCGAAAGCGUGGGGAUCAAACAGG
RNAcentral lists this ribosomal RNA (429 nucleotides) under Actinomycetes bacterium. RNAcentral's name for it is "Actinobacteria bacterium partial 16S ribosomal RNA". It matches the Rfam family "Bacterial small subunit ribosomal RNA", at positions 355 to 776 of the family's 1533-position model. The record is from RNAcentral. Lineage: Bacteria; Bacillati; Actinomycetota; Actinomycetes.